RNAcentral lists this ribosomal RNA (5028 nucleotides) under Triticum aestivum (bread wheat). Its description in RNAcentral is "partial small subunit ribosomal RNA". The record is from RNAcentral. Lineage: Eukaryota; Viridiplantae; Streptophyta; Magnoliopsida; Poales; Poaceae.
AUGGACGAGGGCAGUUUUCAGCACUGGCCGGAGGAAUGGUUUCAGACAUAUCAGAUGAAUUCACCCAUUGGGCUGGGGACAAACAAUGAAGCUGGUCCGGCUGAAGGUACUGGCUUCAGUAGAAAAGCAGACAAAAUACCUAAGAGUAAAAAGCACAGGCCCAAGGUAGUCAAAGAGAAAAAAAUAGCCAAAAUACAGAAGUAUACAACUGCGAAGCAUGCCAAGGAGAAGGAGACUCACUCAACUGGCAAGAGGAAAUAUGUCCGCAAAAAGGGACUAAACGCAACAACGAACCAACCUCCAGCAGAAGAUUCUGAUAUGCAGAACAGAGUGGAAAAAUUAAAAGCCAGGAGAAGCUUGAAGUUCAAUGAGGAUGAUAUGCGAAAAAAUGCUGAUCUAGCAUCACAAGCCCAGGUUACUGAAGCGUCUUUCAAUCCAGAGGAUCCUCGGUCAUCAAUAUAUGCAGCUGAAAGAACUCAUGCGCAGGUGGCAUGUCAUUGGGGGGGAUACAUAAAUUUUCUUGAAGGAAACAAUGUACCAAAUAAUAUCCAGAGGAUGGGAAGCCAUCAACUUGAGUCUUUGGAAGUCGGACCUACUCUGCAUUACUCCAUUGACGAAGAUUGCAGUAUUGCUUUACCUGGCAAACAGCCAAGAUACUCGACUGCAGAGCACACACAGUUGCCCAGUGGUACUGAGAAUCCAUUUAUAGAAAACUAUAUCCCCAGUGGUGGUAUUCAUCAACUCCAGUACUUGGAAAAACGCAUGGUUAAGGGGCCAGAAUCAGUUCCAGAAACACAUGGCGCGUCUGCUUAUGAUGAUACUGUGAACAACUACUGCAUUGCUAUUCAUGACGAGCAGAUCACACACACAGGAGUUGAAGCUGUUGGGAAACCAGUAAGUAAAUCAUCAAGAGCUAAACGCCGUUUGUUAGAUGCUUCUGGAGAAAACAAAGAAGCAUACCCCACCAAAAAGCCAAAGAGGGGCCGUCCAAGAAAGGAAGAAAGCAAUGGGAAGCCAAAAGGCAGAGGCACAAGGAAAGAAACUGUUCGUCCUGCAAAACGUUUAUCGUCAAAAGACAAAUGCACCAUCAAUGAGCCUAUUUCUUGUGGCUCUGAACUUUCUGCAGGAGCUACUACUAAGGCGACAACGUCGGAGUCUAAAAGAAGUGUGGAGAGACCAAGCGUUUUGGAGAUCUCUGACCAUGAUAAUUAUAGAAGCAUCGGUUUCGAGCAUAUUGAUGGAGCCAUUACUGAAGUUAUAGCACUAUCAGCUGAUCCUUUAGACGCCGUAAUUGAAAAGUUCAAGCUUUUAUACACUAGCAAAUCAGAUAAAGUUAUGGCAGCUGCUUGUAAUAAAGGCACAUCUGAUGCGCUGGUUCCAUUUAUGAGAAAUGCAAAUAAAAGACGUUCUCGACCCAGGGUGGACAUCGAUCCAGUAACCUCUUUGAUGUGGAACUUACGAAUUGCACCAAAUAUGAAUGACGACGCUGGAGGCAUGGACAAGGAUAAAGAGAAGUUGCUUGAUGAGGAAAGAAGAGUGUUCCGGGGGAGAAUCAAUGCAUUUAUUGCUCGCAUGCACCUGAUUCAGGGGGAUAGACGAUUCUCUCCUUGGAAAGGAUCAGUUGUCGACUCGGUUGUGGGUGUAUAUCUUACUCAGAAUGUUGCCGACCAUCUUUCUAGUUCUGCUUUCAUGGCGGUUGCUGCGAAAUUUCCAAUCAAACCAGAAGGCCCGGAGGGAUCUACAGCAGAGAUGUCUCAUAUGCCUCCUGGACAGAAUGAUAGCUGUUCUGGACUAUUUGGUGAUUCUUUCAAGCUGAAAGGGAAGUUCUCUGUUGAAGAGAUACUUAAUACCGAGUUUCAUGAAGGAAGUAACAGUAACGAAUUGAUUGGAAGUUUUUCUGGAGAUGGAUUCAACUUUGCAGCAGGAGAAUGUUCUGUUCCAUAUAGGGAGUCCCUAAUUGACCUCCAUGAAAAUAGGCAAUCAAAAUUUGUUGUCCCAGAAAGUGGCAUUGCAAGCGUGGUAGAAGCUGAAGUACCAAUGGAGGAUGCUAUUUCUUCACAAAAUUCUUCUGUUUCUUCUCAACAUUCGCCAGAUUACCCUUUUCACAGAACUGAUCCAAUGGGGUUCAGUUUGUUGCCAUACUUCCCAGAAAAGGACCACAUGCUGAUAAAUUUAUCCAAUAGGAUGACAAGUUCAACUGGACAUGCAGAGCAUCCACCAAUACAAGAUUUCCAGAACAUGCAUAAUGAUAUGGUCGGAUCAUCAGAAUAUGGAGUUAAUCUUCUUCCAGUCCCAGACGCGAUGAAACUCCAAAUUGGCCUGGACAGCCUGGCAACAGGGGCAAGUACGACAACCAACACUGCGGAGAGAAUCAAGCUGGCGCCAGAUAGCAGAACUCUGUGCAUAGAAGUCAUCAACAGUAGAGUCACCCUGCUGAAGAGCAUGCUCCUGACGAACCACGGAAAGGUCUCACAGGGAGUUGCAGAUCCCAUAAGGAAAUCAAAAGUUAGUCGAAAAGGUUCAUCGGAAGUUCCUACAGAUGAAUCAAAAGGAAAGACGGUGUGUGGGCCUACAGAGGAAACUUAUGAUUGGGAAAAAAUACGAAAAGAAUUGUUCGGCAAUAAUGGAGAUAAACCAAGAAGUCCUAAUACAAAAGAUUCGGUUGAUUGGGAAGCAGUACGGCAAGCAGAUGUGAAAGCCAUAUCUGAAACCAUUAGAGAGCGAGGACUGAACAAUAUGCUAGCAGGCCGAAUAAAAGAAUUUCUAAACCGAUUGGUGAGAGACCAUGGAAGCAUUGAUCUUGAAUGGCUGAGAGAUCUCGAACCAGAAAAAGCAAAUAGCACGUCGCGGAAUCACCUGCUCAAUCACAAGCUUAUGGUCUUUGAUUGGGACCGGAUGGCGCUCUCCUCCCGCGACCCGGUCGGCGCCGCGCCGGCCGCGGCCUGCUCGCCUGCGCCGCCGCCUCCGCCGCCCUGCGCUGCUCCGGUCAGCUCUGCCGCACCCCCGCCUCCCGACGCCCCGCUAACGCUGGCCGCUGGGCCGCUCGCCCCGUGCUCUGCUGCCCCCGUCGGGGAGUUGCUACCGCUGCGCUUGGCGGAGGAUGAGGACUCCACCGCUGGCCGUCCCACCGUCCGGCGCACACCUCCGGCUCACCGGACUGUGCUGUGCCCGAUGCUGGUCGACGUGCCGAGACGGGGAGCCCCCUCCCCACCCCAUGCUCGCCGGCCGGUUGCGAACCCCCUCCUCCCGACGCCUGGCCAAAGGGCCGACCUUGGGUCGCGUACCGCUCGCCGCCGCCGCGCUCCGGCGUGGGGCGUCGCGGGGCGGUCCGACCUGGGUCGUGCCCGGUCCUCUUGGCGCUCAGCGGCGGCUCCCCCUGGUUCUCGGCCUGCCUCCUCCCCGGCGGCGUCAUCUCAGCCGGUGGUCACCCGCUCCUCGCCGUUUCGACCGUUCAUCGCAGCUUUUGGCACCUCCUCGCUCCGUUUUUCGCCCAGCCACUCCCGUAGUCGCCCCAUGGAGUCUGGAGCUCCUGCACCGGCGCCGGUCGCAGCGCGAGGGGAAACCCUAGUCACUGCUACCCCGUCUUGCGGGCUGGGACGCCUGGUCGUGGGCCGCCCUAGUGUUGGGCCGGGAUUUGGGCCUGGGGCUUGGGCUGGCAGCUCCGCUUCUGGGCCCAGCCUUAGCUGCGGUCCUAGUGGGCCGGCCUGCCCGGCCAUUAGGCCUAUCUGGCUGCCUACGGGCUUCCCUCGCCCCCCAUCCCAUUCCUCCCCUGCCCUAACCCUCCCUCUCCCGACCCCCGCCGCCAACCCCUCGCUCCCUCCCCCGUCGCUGCCGAACUCGCCGCCGGCCCCCGACGACGUCCGCGGCGCGACUCCUUCCGCCCGUCCCCCGACGCGAUGCGCCAUGAAUCCGAGCUCCGCCGGCUGCUACCUCUGCUCGGAUCCUGACCACCCGGCGAUCCUUUGCCCCGACCGCCCGGUGCCGGAGGAGUUGGUGAUGUACGGGCAUGGGAUUGAGGGCCUCGGCUUGUUCCACGUCGAGGUGCCUGACAUCCUCUCCCCCUCACCAUCGCUCCUGGUGAUUGUCACCGUGAAGGAUGGGGUCGCUUCGCCGGAGAUGUUAGAGGCCGAGCUCAACCAUCUCUACCACUGCUCCUGGGAUUGGCAGGUCACCAUGCUGCCUGGAGGCCAGUUCUCGGUCGUGUUCCCCAACGCUGUCAGCCACGGCUACGGCACCCGCAGCGGAGACAUCACUCUAGCUCUCAACAGCCUAGUGGUGGACAUCUCUGUGCCGGUGCGGGACCCCCUGGCGGUGGCUGUUUUGGACACGGCUUGGAUCCUCAUCGGUAGCCUGCCCGACAUCGCUCGAUCGGAGCGGGUUAUUCGGAGCAUGUCCCGCAUCCUCGGCAAGGUGGUGGUGGUGGACGAGUUGUCCCUCCGCAAGGAGGAGGAGGUCCGCGUCAAGGUCAAAUGCCUCGACUCAUCCAAGCUUCGCGCCACGAUCCGGGUGUUCUUCAACGAUCAGGGUUUUGACCUCCGCAUCUCCCUCGAGCCGCCCAACCACGUUGGCCGCCCCUGCAUCCCCGGCGACAGCUUCUUGGGGGGAGGGCCAGACGGGGAUGGUGCGGGGGAUCGCCGCAGUGACCGCGACCCCCGUCACGGACGCCGCUUCGGUUCAGAGGAGGACGACGAUGACUCCGAGGACAGUCCUCCUCACGACCAGCCCCCCGCUCCGGCUGCUAGGAGUGGUGGUGGGACCGGACGCACCCACUCCUCGGCCGCUCCGCCGCCCUCCGACGACGGCCUCGACGCUUCGGACGCCAGCCUUCAGGUCUUCCCCGCUUCAUCGCCCCGCUCCCCUGUCAGUCCGCUUCUUGAUGUCUUCACCACCCUCUCCGCUGGGGCCGUCCCGGACCCGCCUAGCUCGGCCGCGCCUAUGCCUCUCGUUCCUGUGGUGGAGUCCCCGGGGGCGGUCGUGGCCACCCUGGACCCGCCCCCUCGGACCCUGCAGAUGCUGAUACCGCGCUAG